RNAcentral lists this long non-coding RNA (818 nucleotides) under Equus asinus (donkey). Its description in RNAcentral is "lncRNA (ENSEASG00005036381.1)". Lineage: Eukaryota; Metazoa; Chordata; Mammalia; Perissodactyla; Equidae. The record is from RNAcentral.
UGACAGUGGGGUUGUCUGCCCCAUUAGUGUUUGGCUGACCUGGGAACUAUCUCUCCCACACUGGCAUUUUGUUGACCCCGGGGAGGGGUGACUGCCACACUGGCCUCUCGCUGAUGGUGGAGCUGUCUCCUACACUGCUGUUUUGCUGACCCAACAGGGGAGCUGUGCUGCCUGAGGCGGGGUGUGUGUGAACUGAGGGCACAGGGUAGAAACAAUUGCGCCCUGGUUGGAGGAAGAUGCAUUCAGACGCCUGAUGUACCAAGAUCUAUGAGCCAGGCAGCGCUGCCCCCAUGGAGCCUGCAUUCUAGCCAGGAGACGGCCCGGAGCAGGUUCUCUGCUCAGCACUUUACAGACUCAUCUUCAAACAGCCCUAUGAGGUCAUCACACUCGCUCUCUCAACUUCAGUGAUCUCUUCUGGGCUCAGGACCUGCAGGUCUGACUGCUUCCUGGACCACCUUUAGAUCCAUCACAAUCAGCCUCAGGUCCCAAGCCAGGUUCGCAGCUCCGCCUGCCGGCACCUGCUCUGCCUCCAGUGUCCCCAGCUCAUCUCUGUCACCACCACCCACCCACUUGCUCAAGCUGGAAAGUUGGAAGUUCUCCUGGACACCGCCCUCUCCCUCACCCCCACAUGGCACAGCCGGUCCUCAGCAAGUCCCGUUGGUUCUGAAUGCCUCUCUGAGUCCGUCGUCUCUCUCUCUGCCCACUCCCCCAUUCCAGGCCACCAUCAGCUGUCACCAGGACCCCUGCAACAGCCUCCUAAACUGGUCUCCUUACAUUUCUGUUCGUGCCCCACUUCAUUUCACUUUUCACACUGCAGC